UAACAAGGAUUCCCCUAGUAACUGCGAGUGAAGCGGGAAAAGCUCAAAUUUAAAAUCUGGCAGCCCUUUGGUUGUCCGAGUUGUAGUCUGGAGAAGUGCUUUCUGUGCUGGACCGUGUAUAAGUCUCUUGGAACAGAGCGUCAUAGAGGGUGAGAAUCCCGUCUUUGACACGGACUGCCAGUGCUUUGUGAUGUGCUCUCAAAGAGUCGAGUUGUUUGGGAAUGCAGCUCAAAAUGGGUGGUGAAUUCCAUCUAAAGCUAAAUAUUGGCGAGAGACCGAUAGUGAACAAGUACCGUGAGGGAAAGAUGAAAAGCACUUUGGAAAGAGAGUUAAACAGUACGUGAAAUUGCUGAAAGGGAAACACUUGAAGUCAGUCACAUUGUCUGGAACUCAACCUUGCCUAUUUUUGCUUGGUGUAUUUUCUAGAUUCAAUGGGCCAGCAUCAAUUUUGACUGCUAGAAAAGAGCUGGGGUAAUGUGGCACCUUUGGGUGUGUUAUAGACUCUGGUUGCAUACAGCAGUUGGGAUUGAGGAACGCAGCAUGCCGUAAGGCAGGGGUUUUACCCACUUUCAUGCUUAGGAUGCUGGCAUAAUGGCUUUAAAUGAC
This 606-nucleotide ribosomal RNA is filed under the name Haploporus cf. odorus KUC20121123-29. RNAcentral's name for it is "eukaryotic LSU rRNA". It matches the Rfam family "Eukaryotic large subunit ribosomal RNA", at positions 66 to 648 of the family's 3401-position model. The record is from RNAcentral. Lineage: Eukaryota; Fungi; Basidiomycota; Agaricomycetes; Polyporales; Polyporaceae.